AUUGAUUUGAGAAUAUUUAAGAUACCAGUUGGAGUUAUUUCUCACCUGUCGUAAUGAUUGACGUUUCUUCUUGUUCAAUGUAACUUCCGAUUUCUCAGAAUUUUGGUGAUUCCUUUUCAAUUGGUCAAGUUCCUUUUCAAGUCGAAUGUUUUCCUCUGGAAGGGUAAAAAAGAAAUUAUUCACAUAUUAUAUCAAAAAUGGAGAAUGGAACAAAAAAACCAAAGAAAUUCAAUGUUGGUCAAGUAAAGUACAACUAAAGGAUCAAAUGAAUAAUCUGAAGAAAUUACAACGUUCAGGAUUCUCUUGUCGAUCAAAUUUCCUCUAUGGUUACAUUUUACCCUGUUAAUUCAUUUUGAUGUGUUUCCCCUGAGCCUACUGAUUAGAUGCUGUAAAUAAGCGUGAUACUCAACUGUUCAAAUGAGACAUAUGAUAAGGAGCAUCAACGUACUUGAAUUGUUUCAUCAGCCUACACUAUUUUCCAGUUAUUAACCAUAAUAAUAAUAACCUAAGCUUGUCAACAUUAGAAGCAAAUAGUUAACAUACUUUAAUAUCAGUUCUUUAAAUAGAUUGUAAAUCUGUGCCAUCAACAUUUUCUAUCAAAACAAAUCAUUCCUUAAUCAUGGCUCAUCUUUGAUUAUAUAAGCUCCAUAUCAGUGUAACUCUCACCUCUUAUCCUCUUGAUCACCACGAAAGCUGAAAAUUUUCAAAAAGACUUGCAUCAUUGACUAUUGUUGUUUAAUCAACAUUCACAACUCAAAUUUGACAUUCUUUUUGUCUCAAUAGUUUCAACAUCACCCUGAAAAUUUCAUUUUAUCUAUGGAAUCAAUGUCUUUCUGUUAACGUUCAGCUCUAUUGGUGAUGAGGAAAAGAAAACUUUCUAACAGCUCGAUUUCUCCUUUUCUUAAGUGUUCAUAUCUUGAUUGUUGCACUUUUCACGAAACAUUUAUCAUCUUAUUUCAAUUUUUUACUCACGUUGGGUUUCUAAUUCUUCAGCAUCAGAUACUCGAUAUGAUUCGAUUGGUCAUAUUGGUUAAAAAAGUUGAUCACAAAUUGAUCUAUUGGAUUGGAAGGAUCGUUUAUUAAAACCAUCGAUGGAAUCGGUUUAUUGUAUCCAGAAUCAACUUCAUCCUCAGUAUCAUCACCAUCCUCUUUAUCAUCAUGAGGAGAAAUAGUUUUUAUAUCACAAAUUGAACGGAAUGGCCUUAAUUGUAGAUUCUUAUCCUAAAUCCAAUCAUCGGAUAGUCUUACCUCGAAUAAAUCAUCUCUUUGGUUAAUACAAUGAUCCAUGAAGACACAGGAAUCCUUAAGUUUAGCAUGAUCUCGUUUCAAUAAAUCAUAAGUCUAUUAAGAAGAAGAGGAUUGGAAAUGAUUAAUCAAUUGGUGAUCACUAGAAAGUCUAAAGCGAUGGAAGAUUUGAUUGAUUACCCUCGUUUUUUCUCUAAGUAAUCGACGACCAUGUAAAUAAUCAUCUUCCAAUGUGUUAAACUCUUCUCGUAAAUUUUCCCCCUCGAAGGAAUAAGUGUGACGUUCGUUGUCCAAGAGGGUGUUGGCCAGUAGAACUCGUCGAUAUCUCUCUUCAAUAUCAUUCGAAGCUUCAUCCAUCUGAUUCUAAAAAGAUAAACAAUGAAAAAGAAAUGGAAUCAAUAGUUAAUUUAAAAACAAUCGAACAAUGAAACAAAAGGUUCAAUGAGCAGACAAUUCGUACUCUUUUACGUUUCCUGGUGAAUCGAUGACUCAGAGAUUGACUCAAAAUUCCAAGAAGAUUAGAAUCGAAGAGACAACAGAAAAUAAGCAUUUUCGAAAAAUUGAACAUUUUCACUCUUCACUUUUCUUUCCAAUCCUUUGGAUGAUCAACAAUCAGUGUCAACACUUUAGCUAAACAAUCUUGGUCUGUGAUCAAAAAUCUCAAUCUCAAUGAUGAUCAAUUAUUCGACAAAGAAACUCCCAUUGGCCAAUCAAACGUGAUCAAUUUAAAUUGUGACAAAUGAUUUAAACCAAUAGGAAACACCAGUAAUCAGAGAAAGUGAGAUUUUGAUAAUUACCUGGAAAUUUUCAGGGAAUCCUUCGUCUUCUAUGUUAAUUAACUUGGAAUAAUCUUCAUUUUCAUCUUCAUCAUCAUCAUCACCAUAAUCCUGGUCCUCCUUUUGAUAUAAAAUGAUGAUGAUAAAAGUUAAUGAUGAAAUAAAGAUGAUCAAAAAUGAUGGAAGAGGCGAAAAAAGGGAAAUUGAAACGAAAAGAAAUUAAUUUAAGCUUACAUAUGGAACAUUCUGUUUACAUUCUGUAUUUCGGGUUUGCUGACAAUUAGCAAAUUUUUUGCUUCGCUCAAUCAACAGCGAAACAAAGAGACACUAAAAUUUAAUUAGAUUUACAUUGUUUUCUUUCCUCUAGGUGACCUUAAUUGUAAUGGUGAAAAUUAUCAAAAAUGAUGAGGCUGGUGAACUAAAUUAAAGGAGGAAGAGACAAAAGGAAACAGGAUAAAGUCAUGAAAGGGAAAAUGAUUGGUAUUCUAAACCUACACAAUCAACAUUUAACGACCACAAUUAAAUCAAUAAACAAUCGGGACAAAAUGGAUCAGAUUGACUAAUUUUGCUGAUGAAAACUGCCGAAAGCUCAAUAUGGAGAAACACUAAUUAAACUGGAAGCAUCAUAAAGAUACUAGAUGAAAACAUCAACACGGAAAUGAGAGGAAAAUGAAAAGCCAAUUAAAGAGAUACAAAUAUUAUCUCCAUGGUUCAAUUAGAUUACAUGAUUACUGUUAAUUGUAAUGGAAACAUGAGGCCAUGACAUCGGGAUUGAAUUUUGAUCGGAUCAAGUGAUUAAAUUGUCUCUUACCGAUUG
Long non-coding RNA from Panonychus citri (citrus red mite), 2838 nucleotides. RefSeq lists it as uncharacterized. NCBI's taxonomy places the organism in Eukaryota, Metazoa, Arthropoda, Arachnida, Trombidiformes, Tetranychidae. The transcript is spliced from 5 exons. The record is from RefSeq and is a predicted model, not a curated record.